RNAcentral lists this ribosomal RNA (492 nucleotides) under uncultured bacterium. Its description in RNAcentral is "partial 16S ribosomal RNA". It matches the Rfam family "Bacterial small subunit ribosomal RNA", at positions 29 to 507 of the family's 1533-position model. The record is from RNAcentral.
CGUGAACGCUGGCGGUAGGCCUAACACAUGCAAGUCGAACGGCAGCACCGUAAGAGCUUGCUCUUCCGGGUGGCGAGUGGCGGACGGGUGAGGAAUACAUCGGAAUCUACUUUUUCGUGGGGGAUAACGUAGGGAAACUUACGCUAAUACCGCAUACGACCUACGGGUGAAAGCAGGGGAUCUUCGGACCUUGCGCGAUUGAAUGAGCCGAUGUCGGAUUAGCUAGUUGGCGGGGUACAUGCCCACCAAGGCGACGAUCCGUAGCUGGUCUGAGAGGAUGAUCAGCCACACUGGAACUGAGACACGGUCCAGACUCCUACGGGAGGCAGCAGUGGGGAAUAGUGGACAAUGGGCGCAAGCCUGAUCCAGCCAUACCGCGUGGGUGAAGAAGGCCUUCGGGGUGUAAAGCCCUUUUGUUGGGAAAGAAAAGCAGCAGGUUAAUACGCCGCUGUUCUGACGGUACCCAAAGAAUAAGCACCGGCUAACUUCGUG